RNAcentral lists this ribosomal RNA (442 nucleotides) under uncultured bacterium. Its description in RNAcentral is "partial 16S ribosomal RNA". It matches the Rfam family "Bacterial small subunit ribosomal RNA", at positions 338 to 795 of the family's 1533-position model. The record is from RNAcentral.
CCUACGUGGCGCAGCAGUGGGGAAUAUUGGGCAAUGGGCGCAAGCCUGACCCAGUAACGCCGCGUGAAGGAAGAAGGCUUUCGGGUUGUAAACUUCUUUUGACAGGGAAGAGUAGAAGACGGUACCUGUCGAAUAAGCCACGGCUAACUACGUGCCAGCAGCCGCGGUAAUACGUAGGUGGCAAGCGGUGUCCGGAUUUACUGGGUGUAAAGGGCGUGUAGCCGGGUUGACAAGUCAGGUGUGAAAGCCCAGGGCUCAACCCUGGGCCUGCUUUGGAAACUGUGGAGCUAGAGUGCUGGAGAGGUAAGUGGAAUUCCUAGUGUAGCGGUGAAAUGCGUAGAUAUUAGGAGGAACACCAGUGGCGAAGGCGGCUUACUGGACAGUAACUGACGUUGAGGCUCGAAAGCGUGGGGAGCAAACAGGAUUAGAUACCCCAGUAGUC